GUAAUUGAAUAGUUAAAAUUUAGUGACUAAUGUCUUGAGACAGAGUUAGUCUAAACUUCUGUUCAUGUUCAAGAACGGUUCUUCAUAUUUGAAUUCCUUAUUGCCUUUUAUUUGUUAUUUAUUGAUUCUCUGAAAAUACCCUGCAGCCCAAUGUCUUUAAUUCAUAAGUUUAAUCUCUUUAUUUGCAUUUUUAUUUACAAAAACUGAAAACCAAACAACAAGUCUUUUCCACUUUAGCUGAUAACGAGUCUAGAAAGUCUUUAGUGUACCAUUGCUCCUUGUGAU
This 285-nucleotide long non-coding RNA is filed under the name Capsella grandiflora. RNAcentral describes it as "long non-coding RNA (CGRA_LNC000205)". Lineage: Eukaryota; Viridiplantae; Streptophyta; Magnoliopsida; Brassicales; Brassicaceae. The record is from RNAcentral.